This 77-nucleotide transfer RNA is filed under the name Vibrio alginolyticus. RNAcentral describes it as "tRNA-Val". The record is from RNAcentral. RNAcentral also lists the same sequence under 1 other name. Lineage: Bacteria; Pseudomonadati; Pseudomonadota; Gammaproteobacteria; Vibrionales; Vibrionaceae.
GGGUUCGUAGCUCAGUUGGUUAGAGUACUACCUUGACAUGGUAGGGGUCGGCGAUUCGAGUUCGCCCGGACCCACCA